RNAcentral lists this ribosomal RNA (571 nucleotides) under uncultured cyanobacterium. RNAcentral describes it as "bacterial SSU rRNA". It matches the Rfam family "Bacterial small subunit ribosomal RNA", at positions 39 to 675 of the family's 1533-position model. Lineage: Bacteria; Bacillati; Cyanobacteriota. The record is from RNAcentral.
GCGCGCGUGCCUAACACCCUGACAAGUCGAACGAACUUCGCGGUUAGUGGCGGACGGGUGAGUAACGUCAAAUCUGCCCUCAGGAGGGGGAUAACGGUUGGAAACGGCGCUAAUACCCCAUAUGCCGCGAGGUGAAAUGAAUUUCGCCUGAGGAUGAGCUCGCGUCUGAUUAGCUACGUUGGUGUAGGUAAUGGCUCACCAAGGCAUCGAUCAGUAGCUGGUCUGAGAGGAUGAUCAGCCACACUGGGACUGAGACACGGCCCAGACUCCUACGGGAGGCAGCAGUGGGGAAUUUUCCGCAAUGGGCGAAAGCCUGACGGAGCAACGCCGCGUGAGUGGAUGAAGUGCCUCUGGGCUGUAAACCUCUUUUAUCAGGAAGAAGAUCUGACGGUACUUGAUGAAUAAGCCACGGUACAUUCCGUGCCAGCAGCACGACGGUAAUACGGGACGUGGCAAGCGUUAAUCCCGGAAUUAUUGGGCGUAAAGCGUCCGCAAGUGCGCGCCUUUACAAGGUCUGCUGGUCUAAAAAGUGGAACCUUAAACUCCAUCAUGGCAGUUGAGAAAACUGGUU